This 433-nucleotide ribosomal RNA is filed under the name uncultured bacterium. Its description in RNAcentral is "partial 16S ribosomal RNA". It matches the Rfam family "Bacterial small subunit ribosomal RNA", at positions 29 to 507 of the family's 1533-position model. The record is from RNAcentral.
AACGAACGCUGGCGGCAUGCCUAACACAUGCAAGUCGAACGAGACCUUCGGGUCUAUUGGCGCACGGGUUCGUAACGCGUGGGAACCUGCCCUUAGGUUCGGAAUAACUCCCCGAAAGGGGUGCUAAUACCGGACAAUGUCUUCGGACCAAAGAUUUAUCGCCUUUGGAUGGGCCCGCGUUGGAUUAGCUAGUUGGUAGGGUAAAAGCCUACCAAGGCGACGAUGCAUAGCUGGUCUGAGAGGAUGAUCAGCCACACUGGGACUGGGAAACGGCCCAGAAUCCUACGGGAGGCAGCAGUGGGGAAUAUAGGACAAUGGGCGAAAGCAUGAUCCAGCAAUGCCGCGUGAGUGAUGAAAGCCUUAGGGUUGAAAAGCUCUAUUACCCGGGAUGAUAAUGACAGUACCGGGAGAAUAAGCUCCGGCUAACUCCGUG